Panthera uncia (snow leopard) is the source of this 714-nucleotide long non-coding RNA. RefSeq lists it as uncharacterized. NCBI's taxonomy places the organism in Eukaryota, Metazoa, Chordata, Mammalia, Carnivora, Felidae. The transcript is spliced from 2 exons. The record is from RefSeq and is a predicted model, not a curated record.
UUGUGCUAUAAAGGCAGAGUUGAAUAGCUGUAACAGAGAGCACAUGGCCAACAAAUCUGAAAGUAUUUACUAUCUGGCUCUUAAGAGAACAUGUUUGCUGAUUGCUGGUCUGGAGGAAGAGACAGGGAAGUAAACAGAUGAUUGCAUCACUAUAACAGUGCUAUGAUUGAGGUGAGCAGGUAAGAGAUGAAGCCAGGCAGGAGCAUGGAGGAGGGUCCAGGGGUGGUUAUAUCCUUUAGGGUCUCAAAAAUUCCCUGAAGCAGCCAUGGGGAGCCAUUGAAAGACUUGAGCAGGAGUGACAUGAUCACCUCCCGAAACUAGUGCAUGGAAAGUGGAGGAAGACAGCAGCAGAGCAAGGGGGCCCAGUGAGAGACUGUUGUGAUGGUCCAGAAGGGAGAAGAGAAGAACCUGAAUGGAUCAGGAGCUGUGGACAUGGAGAAGGCAAUGCUGGAAAGAUCUUGAAGGCUGGGUAACAACAUCUCAUUGGGAAGGAGGGAAAACGAAGGAGGGCAGUGGAAGGAUAUCCUUUAAAAGCAGUCUGUGCUCAACAAGCAGUAAAGGUCAUGCUUCAUAACUCAAGGUCAAAAGGCACAGGAAGCAAUUCUGCACACAAGACUUCUUACUGAUCUCUUUCUUAUUUGCUUUCUUUCCUCAUAAGACAAUGACUUUGUGAGACAAAAAUACCUUUGUCAUUAAAAUGCACUCAUUCAUCCA